This 23-nucleotide non-coding RNA is filed under the name Arabidopsis thaliana (thale cress). Lineage: Eukaryota; Viridiplantae; Streptophyta; Magnoliopsida; Brassicales; Brassicaceae. The record is from RNAcentral.
UUAUGGGUCCGCCGCAUAGGCAG